AAUAAAUACAAUUUUACAUUGUUUUAUAUCCAACAUUUAACCAUUUCUCUUAUUUAAAAUUUUUUUAUGAUUAGUAUUUUUAUUGUUAUUUGAUUAUAAAACAUGAAUAGUACUUAAUGUGUGAUUUUUUUCUAUUUUUUCAUAAAUUUUUCAAAUAAGACGGAGAGUCAAACGUUGGACACGGAUACCCACGGCUAUAUUUAUU
Non-coding RNA from Oryza glumipatula, 205 nucleotides. Lineage: Eukaryota; Viridiplantae; Streptophyta; Magnoliopsida; Poales; Poaceae. The record is from Rfam.